This 468-nucleotide ribosomal RNA is filed under the name uncultured bacterium. RNAcentral describes it as "partial 16S ribosomal RNA". It matches the Rfam family "Bacterial small subunit ribosomal RNA", at positions 28 to 507 of the family's 1533-position model. The record is from RNAcentral.
GACGAACGCUGGCGGCGUGCUUAACACAUGCAAGUCGAACGGAAAGGCCCUGCUUGUGUGGGGUGCUCGAGUGGCGAACGGGUGAGUAACACGUGAGUAACCUGCCCUUGACUUUGGGAUAACUUCAGGAAACUGGGGCUAAUACCGGAUAGGAGCUCCUGCUGCAUGGUGGGGGUUGGAAAGUUUCGGCGGUUGGGGAUGGACUCGCGGCUUAUCAGCUUGUUGGUGGGGUAGUGGCUUACCAAGGCUUUGACGGGUAGCCGGCCUGAGAGGGUGACCGGCCACAUUGGGACUGAGAUACGGACCAGACUCCUACGGGAGGCAGCAGUGGGGAAUAUUGCACAAUGGGCGGAAGCCUGAUGCAGCAACGCCGCGUGCGGGAUGACGGCCUUCGGGUUGUAAACCGCUUUCGCCUGUGACGAAGCGUGAGUGACGGUAAUGGGUAAAGAAGCACCGGCUAACUACGUG